GGGCUCGUAGCUCAGUUUGGUUAGAGCGCUUCUCUGAUAAGGAAGAGGUCAUGAGUUCAAAUCUCAUCGGGCCCA
RNAcentral lists this transfer RNA (75 nucleotides) under Microcaldota archaeon. RNAcentral's name for it is "tRNA-Ile". It matches the Rfam family "tRNA". Rfam says of the family: Transfer RNA (tRNA) molecules are approximately 80 nucleotides in length. Their secondary structure includes four short double-helical elements and three loops (D, anti-codon, and T loops). Lineage: Archaea; Nanobdellati; Microcaldota. The record is from RNAcentral.